RNAcentral lists this ribosomal RNA (264 nucleotides) under uncultured archaeon. Its description in RNAcentral is "partial 16S ribosomal RNA". It matches the Rfam family "Archaeal small subunit ribosomal RNA", at positions 716 to 982 of the family's 1478-position model. The record is from RNAcentral.
AGUCACUGACAUUAGAUACCCGCGUAGUCCCAACCGUAAACAAUGUGCGUUAGGUGUGUCGGUAACCACGCGUUACUGAUGCGCCGAAGAGAAAUCGUGAAACGCACCACCUGGGAAGUACGGUCGCAAGGCUGAAACUUAAAGGAAUUGGCGGGGAGCACCACAACAGGUGGAGCCUGCGGUUUAAUUGGAUUCAACGCCGGACAUCUCACCGGAUAAGACAGCUGAAUGAUUGUCAAUCUGAAGGUUUUACAUGACUAGCUG